CAUUCACGGAGAGUUUGAUCCUGGCUCAGGACGAACGCUGGCGGCGUGCUUAACACAUGCAAGUCGAACGAUGAACCUCCUUCGGGAGGGGAUUAGUGGCGAACGGGUGAGUAACACGUGGGCAAUCUGCCCUGCACUCUGGGACAAGCCCUGGAAACGGGGUCUAAUACCGGAUAUGAGCCUGGGAGGCAUCUCCCGGGUUGUAAAGCUCCGGCGGUGCAGGAUGAGCCCGCGGCCUAUCAGCUUGUUGGUGAGGUAACGGCUCACCAAGGCGACGACGGGUAGCCGGCCUGAGAGGGCGACCGGCCACACUGGGACUGAGACACGGCCCAGAC
Molecule: ribosomal RNA, 335 nt
Filed under: Streptomyces sp. PBH53
Lineage: Bacteria; Bacillati; Actinomycetota; Actinomycetes; Kitasatosporales; Streptomycetaceae
Description: bacterial SSU rRNA
Rfam family: Bacterial small subunit ribosomal RNA
Source: RNAcentral